Molecule: ribosomal RNA, 253 nt
Filed under: uncultured bacterium
Lineage: Bacteria
Description: partial 16S ribosomal RNA
Rfam family: Bacterial small subunit ribosomal RNA
Source: RNAcentral
UACAGAGGGUGCAAGCGUUAAUCGGAAUUACUGGGCGUAAAGCGUGCGUAGGUGGUUUGUUAAGUCAGGUGUGAAAUCCCCGGGCUCAACCUGGGAACUGCGCUUGAUACUGGCAGACUAGAGUGUGGUAGAGGGUAGUGGAAUUCCCGGUGUAGCGGUGAAAUGCGUAGAUAUCGGGAAGAACAUCAGUGGCGACGGCGGCUACCUGGACCAACACUGACACUGAGGCACGAAAGCGUGGGGAGCAAACAGG